UACGUAGGGUGCGAGCGUUAAUCGGAAUUACUGGGCUUAAAGGGUGCGUAGGCGGUGCAGCAAGUCGGGAGUGAAAUCCCACAGCUCAACUGUGGAAUUGCUUUCGAUACUGCUGUGCUUGAGUGAGACAGAGGUAAGCGGAACUUAGGGUGGAGCGGUGAAAUGCGUUGAUAUCCUAAGGAACACCGGUGGCGAAGGCGGCUUACUGGGUCUCUACUGACGCUGAUGCACGAAAGCCAGGGUAGCGAACGGG
RNAcentral lists this ribosomal RNA (253 nucleotides) under uncultured bacterium. RNAcentral describes it as "partial 16S ribosomal RNA". It matches the Rfam family "Bacterial small subunit ribosomal RNA", at positions 524 to 776 of the family's 1533-position model. The record is from RNAcentral.